Molecule: ribosomal RNA, 166 nt
Filed under: uncultured bacterium
Lineage: Bacteria
Description: partial 16S rRNA
Rfam family: Bacterial small subunit ribosomal RNA
Source: RNAcentral
GUAGGGGAAUCUUCCACAAUGGGCGAAAGCCUGAUGGAGCAACGCCGCGUGUGUGAUGAAGGGUUUCGGCUCGUAAAACACUGUUGUAAGAGAAGAAUGACAUUGAGAGUAACUGUUCAAUGUGUGACGGUAUCUUACCAGAAAGGAACGGCUAAAUACGUGUCAG